UGAUCAACAGAGACCACGUGAUAUGGCUCUUGACGGAGAAGCGUGUUAAAUGUCUUACCUUCCACCUGGACCUUCCAUUAUGACAUCACUUUCUUACAAGAAGAUUCACAGAUGGCAUCGGGGGGGAAAGGCUCCUGCUCAGCCUUGCCCCCCGCCUUGCCAUUUUAUGUUUCUGGUCCCUGAUCACCACAGCGUUUGGGAUGCUGGUUAUAUGGGGAUGUCAAACCAUGUACAACUUGGCUGGCCACUCCUGAUGCCCUCUUGCUACUGCAGUGCUUCUGAGCCCAAGAAAUCAACCACAGGGUGUUAAGGCUAAUGCCUGUUCCCUCCUUAUACUGCAGUGGGCCUCCAGGGUCUGGGGUCCACACAGCAGUACCAGACUCAGCUCUCUCCCCCUUCCAGCUGAGGGGUCUGUUCUAGGAUUCCUCCAGAAGCUCACGUGCUGAAUGAGUCUACAUGCCCUAAUCUCCCAAUGGGCAGUUCUGUGUGCACCAAGUUGUUGCUAUGGAAUUAAACUUGUAUUGCCUCUUCUUCCUAUAUCCCACGGCCCCCAGAUGGUUAUAAAACUAGUCGUUCAUCGCCUCACUUACUUUUGAUAAUCAUGGAAAGCUGUGGGGUAGCGUCUUGAGAUGCAGCUGGGGUUUGUGAGGCCGAGGAAACCUGACUUCAGGCCGCAGGCAUAUCCCCUUAGCUGUGCCGGCCCUGUUGUCAACUCUAGCUUGUCUGGCAUAACUAUUAAAAUAUAGGAUCUCCUGGGGCGCCUGGGUGGCUCAGUUAAGUGUACAACUUCAGCUCAGGUCACGAUCUCACAGUUCAUGGGUUCGAGCCCCACGUUCGGCUCUGUGCUGACAGCUCAGAGCCUGGAGCCUGCUUCAGAUUCUGUGUGUGUGUGUCUCUCUCUCUGUGUCCCUCCUCCACUCAUGCUCUCUCUCUCUCUCUCUCUCUCUCAAGAAUAAAUAAAAAUUUUUAAAAAUUAAAAAAGUAAGGAAUGUCCUAUCACAUUCCCUCCUGAGAAACAUAUUUUGGGAAAUACCGACUUAUAUAAACAGGAUUUCAGGAACUUAUGGCCCAGCGAUAAUCUCAUCCAGAUUCCUUCCUUUCAUAGAAAUGAGGCUCAGAGAAGAAAUGUGAUAGCCAUGAUCACAGCUCCUCACAGCAUUCCCCUUGAAUUCACUAUGAUCCUCAUUCUACAGAAAACUGAGACCACCUUGGCUAAGUGACUAUGAUCACCCAGCUAGCAGAGUUGGGACUUCCAGAACUGUUCUUACCUGUUACCCUAAGAUGAAUUUUGAAGGUAGGCAAUUCUAAGUCUUAUUCUAAUACCACACAUAGGCCAUAUUCCAUUUCCUUCCACGGUGUAGACUGUAGGAGCCAUUCUUCAAUAUAUCAAAAAUCGACACUCUUCCCCUUAGGGGCUGGGUGUCUGAAUCAACCCAAUUCUGUUCUAUACAUGAAAUGUUCCAUCCCGAAUGGUUCAGGAGAAAAUAAGAUAUUAAAUGGAAAUAUGCAUAAAAUUUGCAAAACCAAAUGAAUCCCCAGCCUGCUGGAGUAUUUAUUUAAGCAAUAAACAUAUAAGAAGCAGACUAUUUGUUUGCUUCAGAUGUACGAAAGCCCUGAAGACUCCGGAUUUAAACGUAAAACACUGAAUUUACAUUUAAGAUUUAUAUUUAUGUCCUAACAUAUGUACUCAUUCAAUAUUAUGAUAAGGUUAGAAAUGAAACAGGUUAUUAUAGUCUGCAGACAAGGGACAAACCAAAUCUUUCAUUAAAAGCCCAGUAUCCAAUGAGAUCAACUGAAUUAGAAAUUCUUUAUUCCCGGGGCACCUGGGUGGCUCUGUCGGUUAAGCGCCCGACUUGGGCUCAGGUCAUGAUCUCACGGUUCAUGGGUUCGAGCCCCACAUCAGGUUCUCUGCUGUCCGCACGGAGCCUGCUUUGGAUCCUCUGUCCCCCUCUUUCUCUGCCCUUCCCUUGUUUGUGCUCUCUCUCUCUCAAAAAUAAAAUAAACAUUAAAAAAAAAUUUUUUUUUAAAGAAAUUCUUUAUUCCCAGCAGACUGCAAGUUCUUCAAAGACAAUCAUUCCAAGACCCGCUGACAGUAAAAUGAGGACUAUUUUGAAAAGGCUGUUGUUGGGGCGCCUGGGUGGCGCAGUCGGUUAAGCGUCCGA
Molecule: long non-coding RNA, 2162 nt
Filed under: Lynx pardinus (Iberian lynx)
Lineage: Eukaryota; Metazoa; Chordata; Mammalia; Carnivora; Felidae
Source: RNAcentral